ACCGUUCAGGGGUAAACCUGAGGAACCCAAAAGAUCGAAUGGGGAGAUUCAUCAUCAACGAAGCUGGCUUCGCGAUGGCUCGUGAUGUCCAUCGGGAUUUCGGUCCUGUGUGGCACGCGGUCGUUGCGUUGCGUCUGGCUACGUCGGCGUGCACUUCUCCCCUAGUAGAACGUCGCGACCCGUUGGGUGCCGGUCUUACGGCCUGGGUGGAUGCCUGGUUGCUUUACUGCGCCAGACCCCCGUGUUGCCAAUGAAUCCGGCUGCCCGGCGGUACUCCGAUGGUAUCAGGCCGCAUAUUUGAACUGCGUCGGGCCCAUUUUGUCCGCGGAUCAGUGCUCGGUGGUUACGGACCUAGUGCCGUCCCCGUGCCUGACUCGCGCAUGGCAAGUGGUGUCCUCCGACAGGCCAUGCACUCGAAUGAAGGAUACCGGUCGGCGACGCUACUGCUUUGGGUAAUCUCAGGACCCGUCUUGAAACACGGACCAAGGAGUCUAACAUGUGCGCGAGUCAUUGGGACCGCAUGCCUAAAGGCGAAAUGAAAGUGAAGGUCGGCCUUAGCGCCGACCGAGGGAGGAUGGGCCGCGUUACGAUGCGGCUUCGCACUCCCGGGGCGUCUCGUUCUCAUUGCGAGAAGAGGCGCACCCAGAGCGUACACGUUGGGACCCGAAAGAUGGUGAACUAUGCCUGGUCAGGACGAAGUCAGGGGAAACCCUGAUGGAGGUCCGUAGCGAUUCUGACGUGCAAAUCGAUCGUCGGAACUGGGUAUAGGGGCGAAAGACUAAUC
Molecule: ribosomal RNA, 784 nt
Filed under: Epyris yetus
Lineage: Eukaryota; Metazoa; Arthropoda; Insecta; Hymenoptera; Bethylidae
Description: eukaryotic LSU rRNA
Rfam family: Eukaryotic large subunit ribosomal RNA
Source: RNAcentral